This 225-nucleotide unclassified non-coding RNA is filed under the name Hevea brasiliensis (rubber tree). Lineage: Eukaryota; Viridiplantae; Streptophyta; Magnoliopsida; Malpighiales; Euphorbiaceae. The record is from RNAcentral.
UAGACGUUAUCAGAGGUACAUUUCUUAAUUAUAAUAUCUUUAAGUAUGCAUUGAUAGACCCUAAUUAUAUUCACCCCUAUAUAUACAUUGUACCUCCUAUUAAAAGAGGAUACCGAGAGAUGAGUUAGAAGAUGACAUGCUUGUCACCAACCCUUUGAACCAUAAGGUUAUGGUAGAUUAUCAAUCGAAAAGGAUCAUAUCAAAGAUAAUAGAUGGAAAUGAGAA